This 1376-nucleotide ribosomal RNA is filed under the name uncultured bacterium. RNAcentral describes it as "bacterial SSU rRNA". It matches the Rfam family "Bacterial small subunit ribosomal RNA". The record is from RNAcentral.
GAGUUUGAUCCUGGCUCAGGACGAACGCUGGCGGCGUGCUUAACACAUGCAAGUCGAACGGAAAGGCCCCGCUUGCGGGGUACUCGAGUGGCGAACGGGUGAGUAACACGUGGGUGAUCUACCCUGCACUUCGGGAUAAGCCUGGGAAACUGGGUCUAAUACCGGAUAGGACCCCUCUUUAGUGUGGGGGGUGGAAAGUUUUUUCGGUGUGGGAUGAGCCCGCGGCCUAUCAGCUUGUUGGUGGGGUAAUGGCCUACCAAGGUGUCGACGGGUAGCCGGCCUGAGAGGGUGGACGGCCACAUUGGGACUGAGAUACGGCCCAGACUCCUACGGGAGGCAGCAGUGGGGAAUAUUGCACAAUGGGCGGAAGCCUGAUGCAGCGACGCCGCGUGGGGGAUGACGGCCUUCGGGUUGUAAACCUCUUUCGCUAGGGACGAAGCUUUUGUGACGGUACCUAGAUAAGAAGCACCGGCUAACUACGUGCCAGCAGCCGCGGUAAUACGUAGGGUGCGAGCGUUGUCCGGAAUUACUGGGCGUAAAGAGCUCGUAGGUGGUUUGUCGCGUCGCCUGUGAAAUUCCGGGGCUUAACUUCGGGCGUGCAGGCGAUACGGGCAAUACUUGAGUGCUGUAGGGGAGACUGGAAUUCCUGGUGUAGCGGUGGAAUGCGCAGAUAUCAGGAGGAACACCGAUGGCGAAGGCAGGUCUCUGGGCAGUAACUGACGCUGAGGAGCGAAAGCAUGGGUAGCGAACAGGAUUAGAUACCCUGGUAGUCCAUGCCGUAAACGGUGGGCGCUAGGUGUAGGGGUCUUCCACGACUUCUGUGCCGUAGCUAACGCAUUAAGCGCCCCGCCUGGGGAGUACGGCCGCAAGGCUAAAACUCAAAGGAAUUGACGGGGGCCCGCACAAGCGGCGGAGCAUGUGGAUUAAUUCGAUGCAACGCGAAGAACCUUACCUGGGCUUGACAUACACCGGACCGGGCCAGAGAUGGUCUUUCCCUUGUGGCUGGUGUACAGGUGGUGCAUGGUUGUCGUCAGCUCGUGUCGUGAGAUGUUGGGUUAAGUCCCGCAACGAGCGCAACCCUUGUCUUAUGUUGCCAGCACGUAGUGGUGGGGACUCAUGAGAGACUGCCGGGGUCAACUCGGAGGAAGGUGGGGAUGACGUCAAAUCAUCAUGCCCCUUAUGUCCAGGGCUUCACACAUGCUACAAUGGUCGGUACAGCGCGUUGCGACACUGUGAGGUGGAGCUAAUCGCUGAAAGCCGGCCUCAGUUCGGAUUGGGGUCUGCAACUCGACCCCAUGAAGUCGGAGUCGCUAGUAAUCGCAGAUCAGCAACGCUGCGGUGAAUACGUUCNCCGGGCCUUGUACACACCGCCCGUC